This 668-nucleotide long non-coding RNA is filed under the name Brassica napus (rape). RNAcentral's name for it is "long non-coding RNA (BNAP_LNC007467)". The record is from RNAcentral. Lineage: Eukaryota; Viridiplantae; Streptophyta; Magnoliopsida; Brassicales; Brassicaceae.
AGUUAUUACCCAAGUUUAAAUAUUAUAAACACUAAUAACCUAGUAAAUUUGCUCUAGAACCUCUAAGAUGUUGUCCAAACAAAUUUUGUGUAGCCGAAGUUGGAGCAUUACGAAAAUAAUUUUCUGGAAUAUUGUGGUAUUUUGCUUUUUAAAUUAAUAUUUAAUUAUAAAUUUCUAUUUAUAAUUUUAUAUUUUGGUGUAACAUUUUGUUAAUUAAUAUUAGUGUAAUAUUUUAAUAUAUGUGCUAGAUAUAUUAUAAUUUUUUUAUGGAUUUAUAUUAACUAUGACAAAUAUAAAGACACAUAGAGUAAAUUAUAAAUAAUUUUGAAAUUAAGUUUAAGAGUUUAUUUUUGGAGAAUACCACCUUGAAAUUUCAAAUAUAAAUUUUUGUGAACUUUAAAAUGGAGAGUAUUUUUGAAAAUGUUCAAAAAACAUAUGGCAACAUUCUCGGUUAACUUCGAUGACGAUGUAGUUGUGAACACAAAUAUUUUACUUAUUAAAAAAAUGAAUUGAGAAAAGAAUAAAAUGGUUGUAUAGGACCACCAUCACACUGAUUCACAUAUAACAGCAGCCUAAAUCAGUUUGACGGGUUCAACGCUUAUUUCUAGUGGUUGGCAAAGAAAAAACCGAGAAGUCAAACUGAACCAGUCAAACUCAAAAAGACCCAA